GUCGAUGGGAAAAUGGUUAAUAUUCCAUUACUUCUGUGUAAUGCGAUGAGAGGACGGAGAAGGCUAAAUCAGCCUGGCGUUGGUUGUCCAGGUGAAAGGAUGUAGGCAUGUAUCUUAGGCAAAUCCGGGGUACUCUAUGCUGAGAUCUGAUAGCAAGCUGUACUUGUACAGCGAAGUGGUUGAUGCCAUGCUUCCAGGAAAAGUCUCUAAGCUUCAGUUACACAGGAAUCGUACCCGAAACCGACACAGGUGGUCAGGUCGAGUAGACCAAGGCGCUUGAGAGAACUCUGCUGAAGGAACUAGGCAAAAUGGUACCGUAACUUCGGGAGAAGGUACGCUGUUGUUGGUGAUGGAACUCGCUUCCUGAGCUGACGACAGCCGCAGAAACCAGGCCGCUGCAACUGUUUAUUAAAAACAUAGCACUCUGCAAACACGAAAGUGGACGUAUAGGGUGUGAUGCCUGCCCGGUGCUGGAAGGUUAAUUGAUGGGGUUAGCGUAAGCGAAGCUCUUGAUCGAAGCCCCAGUAAACGGCGGCCGUAACUAUAACGGUCCUAAGGUAGCGAAAUUCCUUGUCGGGUAAGUUCCGACCUGCACGAAUGGCAUAAUGAUGGCGGCGCUGUCUCCAGCAGAGGCUCAGUGAAAUCGAAAUCGCUGUGAAGAUGCAGUGUACCCGCGGCUAGACGGAAAGACCCCGUGAACCUUUACUGCAGCUUGACACUGAACUUUGACCUUACUUGUGUAGGAUAGGUGGGAGGCUUUGAAGCUGGAACGCUAGUUCCAGUGGAGCCGUCCUUGAAAUACCACCCUGGUAAUGUUGAGGUUCUAACUCUGUCCCGUGAUCCGGGACGAGGACCGUGUCUGGUGGGUAGUUUGACUGGGGCGGUCUCCUCCUAAAGAGUAACGGAGGAGUACGAAGGUGCGCUCAGCGUGGUCGGAAAUCACGCGUAGAGUAUAAAGGCAAAAGCGCGCUUAACUGCGAGACCCACAAGUCGAGCAGGUACGAAAGUAGGUCUUAGUGAUCCGGUGGUUCUGUAUGGAAGGGCCAUCGCUCAACGGAUAAAAGGUACUCUGGGGAUAACAGGCUGAUACCGCCCAAGAGUUCAUAUCGACGGCGGUGUUUGGCACCUCGAUGUCGGCUCAUCUCAUCCUGGGGCUGAAGCAGGUCCCAAGGGUAUGGCUGUUCGCCAUUUAAAGAGGUACGCGAGCUGGGUUUAGAACGUCGUGAGACAGUUCGGUCCCUAUCUACCGUGGGCGCUGGAAAUUUGAGAGGAUCUGCUCCUAGUACGAGAGGACCAGAGUGGACGAACCUCUGGUGUACCGGUUGUGACGCCAGUCGCAUCGCCGGGGAGCUAUGUUCGGAAGGGAUAACCGCUGAAAGCAUCUAAGCGGGAAGCCUACCUCAAGAUAAGAUUUCCCUAGGACUUUAUGUCCUCUAAAGAGCCGUUCGAGACUAGGACGUUGAUAGGUUGGAUGUGGAAGCAUAGUGAUAUGUGAAGCUGACCAAUACUAAUUGCUCGUGAGGCUUGACUAU
RNAcentral lists this ribosomal RNA (1532 nucleotides) under Acinetobacter baumannii 70136. Its description in RNAcentral is "bacterial LSU rRNA". It matches the Rfam family "Bacterial large subunit ribosomal RNA", at positions 1414 to 2925 of the family's 2925-position model. The record is from RNAcentral. Lineage: Bacteria; Pseudomonadati; Pseudomonadota; Gammaproteobacteria; Moraxellales; Moraxellaceae.